AGACUAUGACCAACAUGCCCAUUUUAUUCACUGGUACACAGCUGACAACCAGCACACUGCAUGGCAUAUUUUAGCAUGUUCAGUUCCUACUAGUGGGAUUGUUGGAUCAAAUGAGACAAAGUGUUGCUUCAGACUGGAGUGCAGGGGCCCUAUCAUUACUCACCAUAGUCUCUCGAAAUCCUGGGCUCAGGUGAUCCUCCAACUUCAGCCAUCUGAGCAG
Microcebus murinus (gray mouse lemur) is the source of this 220-nucleotide non-coding RNA. NCBI's taxonomy places the organism in Eukaryota, Metazoa, Chordata, Mammalia, Primates, Cheirogaleidae. The record is from RefSeq and is a predicted model, not a curated record.